GUGGGGAAUAUUGGACAAUGGGCGAAAGCCUGAUCCAGCCAUGCCGCGUGUGUGAAGAAGGUCUUCGGAUUGUAAAGCACUUUAAGUUGGGAGGAAGGGCAGUAAGUUAAUACCUUGCUGUUUUGACGUUACCGACAGAAUAAGCACCGGCUAACUUCGUGCCAGCAGCCGCGGUAAUACGAAGGGUGCAAGCGUUAAUCGGAAUUACUGGGCGUAAAGCGCGCGUAGGUGGUUUUGUAAGUUGGAGGUGAAAUCCCCGGGCUCAACCUGGGAACUGCCUCAAAAACUGCAUGACUAGAGUACGGUAGAGGGUAGUGGAAUUUCCUGUGUAGCGGUGAAAUGCGUAGAUAUAGGAAGGAACACCAGUGGCGAAGGCGACUACCUGGACUGAUACUGACACUGAGGUGCGAAAGCGUGGGGAGCAAACAGGAUUAGAAACCCGAGUAGUCC
This 450-nucleotide ribosomal RNA is filed under the name uncultured bacterium. Its description in RNAcentral is "bacterial SSU rRNA". It matches the Rfam family "Bacterial small subunit ribosomal RNA", at positions 354 to 796 of the family's 1533-position model. The record is from RNAcentral.